AGUAUUCGUUAGUUGAACGGCAUGGAAAGGCCGGCCAGAGAAGGUGACAGCCCUGUAAGCGAAAAUGAAUGCCCUCUGAAACAUGGCCCGAGUACCGCAGGACACGAGAAAUCCGGCGGGAAUCUGGGAGGACCAUCUUCCAAGGCUAAGUACUACUCGAUGACCGAUAGUGGACUAGUACCGUGAGGGAAAGGUGAAAAGAACCCCGGCAAG
This 213-nucleotide ribosomal RNA is filed under the name Oxyrrhis marina. Its description in RNAcentral is "partial Bacterial large subunit ribosomal RNA". It matches the Rfam family "Bacterial large subunit ribosomal RNA", at positions 321 to 533 of the family's 2925-position model. The record is from RNAcentral. Lineage: Eukaryota; Dinophyceae; Oxyrrhinales; Oxyrrhinaceae.